GCGGCAGCACCAUCGGACGGCAGCACCAUCUGACGGCAGAACCAUCUGACGGCAGAACCAUCUGACGGCAUCACCAUCGGAAGGCAGCACCAUCGGAAGGCAGCACCAUCGGACGGCAGCACCAUCGAAAGGCAGCACCAUCGAAAGGCAGCACCAUCGGAAGGCAGCAUCAUCGUCGGCAGCACCAUCGGACGGCAGCACCAUCGAAAGGCAGCACCAUCUGACGGCAGCACCAUCGGACGGCAGCACCAUCUGACGGCAGAACCAUCUGACGGCAUCACCAUCUGACGGCAGCACCAUCUGACGGCAGAACCAUCUGACGGCAUCACCAUUGGACGGCAGCACCAUCGGAAGGCAGCACCAUCGAAAGGCAGCACCAUCGGACGGCAGCACCAUCGGACGGCAGCACCAUCGGAAGGCAGCACCAUCGGAAGGCAGCACCAUCGGACGGCAGCACCAUCGGAAGGCAGCACCAUCGGAAGGCAGCAUCAUCGUCGGCAGCACCAUCGGAAGGCAGCACCAUCGGACGGCAGCACCAUCGGAAGGCAGCACCAUCGGAAGGCAGCACCAUCGGAAGGCAGCACCAUCGAAAGGCAGCACCCUCGGAAGGCAGCAUCAUCGUCGGCAGCACCAUCGGAAGGCAGCACCAUCGGACGGCAGCACCAUCGGAAGGCAGCACCAUCUGACGGCAGCACCAUCGGACGGCAGCACCAUCUGACGGCAGAACCAUCUGACGGCAUCACCAUCUGACGGCAGCACCAUCGGAAGGGCAGCACCAUCGGACGGCAGCACCAUCGGAAGGCGGCACCAUCGGAAGGCAGCACCAUCUGACGGCAGCACCAUCGGAAGGCAGCACGAUCUGACGGCAUGACCAUCGGACGGCAACACCAUCGGAAGGCAGAACCAUCGGAAGGCAGCACCAUCUGACAUUAUUUGUAAAUUGAACACGGCACGCGUCCGUGUGCGCGCGUCCGCAGCAAAAAUAAACCUGUUUUUAGUAGCAGAAUGUAUGCAUUUGUAUUUCUGUGUAUAUUGUGACAAUUUAACAUGGGGGUCCAAUGGAAAUUGAAUCGCUUUUAAAAGACAGUUAUUGGAACUUCAUUUUGACUGUUUGACUCACAGUAUUGAGUUCAUUAAACUUGUUGAAACUUACAAUUUGUUGAACAGGCUUAAAAACCUGAGUUGGAGGACUGAAAACAAUUACAGUAAGUUGUAAUUGUAUAACUCAUCAUGAUAAGUUGAAGUAAAUAACAAAACGAAGUUACUAUGACUUGUUGUUCAAAUAAGUUUUACAGUGAGGUAGUCACUACUGUUGCUAACACAUCCCGUUGGACCAGGAUUAUUUCUUGUAAUAAUUAAUUAACAUUUCUCCUAAUGUUACCCUGGUAACCGCUGGCACCGCAGACGGAUUUCUAGCAUGCACACGUUCCAUUGCGUUGACUCUUACUAUGAAAAUCUACGUACUUCCGGUUUAGCGGCUCGCUUCGUAUUUUAGUUUUAUGGGCAAAACCCCAAAAGGGAUUAACGGAGUAAAAAGUUGUGACUUUGUCUCGUUUUUUGUUUCUAACAGAGAAAACGACUGUCCACUUCCGUUUUACCGUUUUGGAUUUAAAACGAAAAACGAGAAAACGAGGGUUUUCGUUUUCUCGUUUUUACGGUAAAAGGGACUAUCAAAACGUACACGGACCAAAUAUGUUUCAGUGGCGUUGAUCAUGUCAUUUCGGUCAGUAGUGCCAUAUUAAACAUGUCUCUGUUAGUUCAGUCAUACAUAUGAUAUAACUAUGAUGUCAUCAUCAUGAUGCCCCAGUUAGUGGGGCAUCUUUUUUUUUUAAUUAUACAUUUUCUUUUGGUUUUUUUUCACGUACGGCAAUUCCACACUGCCACUACCAUCGGAAGGCAGCACCAUCGGACGGCAGCACCAUCGGAAGGCAGCUCCAUCGGAAGGCAGCACCAUCUGACGGGAGCCAUCGGACGGAAGCCAUCGGACGGCAGCGCGUAAAUCAAACAUCCGCACGAGUACGUCUUGCGGAAGCAAAUGUCCGUCUCACGGGAGAUAUUUGCUCGCUCGCGCAACGUGUACUUGGUUGCUCGCGAGGCUAAUCUCUGCUCGCGCUCGAAGAUUUUCUACUUGCUCAUUGUUGUUCUUUUUGACAGUAAGGGAGCGGAGCCAGUCAUUAUGGUAUCUCUACAUCUAAUUGGUUACAAACCCCGUCUUUUGAUUGGCUGGAGUUAUGCACUACUGGAGGUCGUUAUGGUUAAAAAAGUUAGUUAGUUAGUGGGGCAUCAUGUCAUUUCGGUCAGUAGUGCCAUAUUAAACAUGUCUCUGUUAGUGCACUCAUACAUAUGAUAUAACUAUGAUGUCAUCAUCAUGAUGCCCCAGUUAGUGGGGCAUCUUUUUUUUUUAUUAUACAUUUUCUUUUGUUAUUUUUUCACGCACGGCAGUUCCACACUGAUAUUAAUGUCGCAAAUAAGUUUGUGCGGCCCUCUCAUCAACGAGGCAGAGACAACUAAUCCCCGGAUUUAGUUAGUUUAGUUUGAUUUCGAUCCUAUUCGCACCAGUGAGAUGUCAUUUUCAGAAUUAUUUUUUCUAGUUCCCACAGCGGUUGCGAGCACUCAGGGCACACCCACCAUUAGGUAAUCAUGGCCGGGCAGUAAGAGCCAAAAGGCUAAUGACUGCUACUGUAGGCAUGCUUGGGAUCUCUCAUUGAAGUCAAUUAAAGUGAUGUGCAUAAGCUCUGCUUCACCACUCUGACUCCGAUAUGUGGGAUAUGUCCGAUGAAUUGGGCCUCAUUCCCCACCAGAUUCUAUGUUGAUUACUUUUGAUUGCAUUAAUGCAAAGAUGCUGAACCAAGUGGUUCAUAAAUAUGAAUACAUUUGUUAAAGUGAGGCUUAUUUACUCAUUCAAGACACGCAACCUGUGGCAAGGUAUGUAGUUCCCGGCAGAUCAUUUUACACUGUCACAUCUAACAAGGCAGACCCCUGGAAUUAAUAUGUGCUAAUUAUAAAAGAAUUUCCCGGGAGCACAAACUCUUAUUUGUAAAAAACACUAUGGUAUGAUAGUUUUAAACUAACAGUUUCUGAUAAAAACACGUGUUCGUGUGCGAUCUCUUCUACUUUAUUAAAGUGAAGAAAGAGAAUUAUAAAAAAGAUUUUUUAAAAGUUAUUUAUAUCUUAUUUUGAAAGCAUUUAAAUAUGGUCUUGGUGCCAUGACGUCAUCACCAAGCGACAAUAAGAAAAUGAGACGAAGCGGCAUUCAUUACUCUGUUGUCACGUCGAAAAAACCAGUAGGUAUGAAAUCCGACUGUUAUUUGCCGUGUAGCAUGUGUGCUAAUCUCUGGUGUUUGGCGCGUCGGUGGAAUAAUAUCAAAUGAAUGUUAUUUGGUUUGCCAAGUGAUUUGUAUUGUACUUACGGAUCUUUUCCAGCUCGAAAGCUAACGUUAACAUUAGUAGAACUAACUUAGGCAACUAAUUAUUUACCGUUAGCUAGCGUUGGCCUUUUAGCACACAGUUGUAGUUAACGUGAGUUUGUAAAAAGCAAAACGAACGAAUUUAUUUAAAUCUUCAAUGUGUGAGGUAUUUAGAAAACUGAGCAAAAUAAAUACAUUUUACCAUCGUUAUCAAACUGUACGUCACUUACGUCACAUUCAUUUAGUCAACUGUAUGAAUUUAACUAAACGAUGACUGACCAAAUGAGUUGUUAAAUGAUAUAACGUUACUUGUGCGGCCCAAUAAUAUUCCAAUCACUUAACGUUACUAAACGGUAUUACAAUCAUUUUGUAAUGAACUUGGUGAUACUUGUGUAACGUUAGACAUACGCACAGAAAGGGGAUGCGGCAAGUUUAGAACACAUACAUUUGUAAAAAUACCAAUUAAAACGUUCUAAAACUUAAUAGCUGGAUCUUUUAAAGACAACCGACUUUAAAAGUACAUAAGACAACUAAGGGAAAAAGUUGGAUCAUAUCAGAUGCUUUAGAACAGUUUUUGAGUUUAUAGGUGCCGAUGAGACACGGACUAUUUCUUUGUGUACAGCCUUUGGCAGUGCCAACACUAUGGACG
Molecule: long non-coding RNA, 4056 nt
Organism: Gasterosteus aculeatus aculeatus (three-spined stickleback)
Lineage: Eukaryota; Metazoa; Chordata; Actinopteri; Perciformes; Gasterosteidae
Source: Ensembl